UCUAUUAGAUGUACCUCUCUGAACAUGCCCAGUUUCAUCUGAUCUCAGAAGCUAAGCAGGGUCGGGCCUGGUUAGUGACGUAGGCUUGAGGAGAA
RNAcentral lists this ribosomal RNA (95 nucleotides) under Notamacropus eugenii (tammar wallaby). Lineage: Eukaryota; Metazoa; Chordata; Mammalia; Diprotodontia; Macropodidae. The record is from RNAcentral.